RNAcentral lists this ribosomal RNA (397 nucleotides) under uncultured bacterium. RNAcentral's name for it is "partial 16S ribosomal RNA". It matches the Rfam family "Bacterial small subunit ribosomal RNA", at positions 523 to 918 of the family's 1533-position model. The record is from RNAcentral.
AUACGUAGGGGGCGAGCGUUGUCCGGAAUGAUUGGGCGUAAAGGGCGCGUAGGCGGCCCGGUAAGUCUGGAGUGAAAGUCCUGUUUUUAAGAUGGGAAUUGCUUUGGAUACUGUCGGGCUUGAGUGCAGGAGAGGUAAGUGGAAUUCCCAGUGUAGCGGUGAAAUGCGUAGAGAUUGGGAGGAACACCAGUGGCGAAGGCGACUUACUGGACUGUAACUGACGCUGAGGCGCGAAAGUGUGGGGAGCAAACAGGAUUAGAUACCCUGGUAGUCCACACUGUAAACGAUGAAUGCUAGGUGUAGGGGUUAUCGACCCCUUCUGUGCCGCAGUCAACACAAUAAGCAUUCCGCCUGGUGAGUACGGCCGCAAGGUUGAAACUUAAAGGAAUUGGCGGGG